CAAUGCGCGCAAGCGUGAAAGAUUGAGCCAGAGUGUUUAUCUUAUGAUAAACUUUUAUGGAAUCUAAAAAGUUCCGUGAAUAAGGACUGGGUAAGACGAGUGCCAGCCGCCGCGGUAAUCCUCGCGGUCCAAGUUGCAACCAUCAUUAUUGGGUCUAAAACAUCCGUAGCUUGCUUUGUAAGUUUCUUGUGAAAUUCUGUCUCUCAAGGGCAGAGCGUGCAAGAAGUACUGCUAAGCUAGAGACUGGAAGACGUAAAAAGUAUAUCAGAAGUAGCGGUCAAAUGUGUUGAUCUCUGGUAGACUCACAACAGCGAAGGCAUUUUACGAGGACAGUUCUGACAGUAAGGGAUGAAGGCUAAGGGCGCAAAGUGGAUUAGAUACCCACGUAGUCUUAGCUGUAAACACUGCACACUAAACAUCAGUACCUCCUCGAGAGGUAUUGGUGCUGAAGAGAAGUCGAAGAGUGUGCUACCUGGGAAGUAUAGCCGCAAGGCCGAAACUUAAAGGAAUUGGCGGAGAGACACUGCAACAGGUGACGCGUGCGGUUCAAUUAGAUUCUACACCGUGAACCUCACCAGGAGCGACAGCAGAAUGAAGGUCAGUCUAAAGGGCUUACCUGACACGCUGAGAGGUGGUGCAUGGCCA
Molecule: ribosomal RNA, 645 nt
Filed under: uncultured archaeon
Lineage: Archaea
Description: bacterial SSU rRNA
Rfam family: Archaeal small subunit ribosomal RNA
Source: RNAcentral